GAUGAAGAACGUAGCGAAAUGCGAUAAGUAGUGUGAAUUGCAGAAUUCAGUGAAUCAUCGAAUCUUUGAACGCACCUUGCGCCCUUUGGCUAUUCCGAAGGGCAUGCCUGUUUGAGUAUCAUGAACACCUCAACUCUCAUGGUUUUUCCAUGAUGGGCUUGGACUUUGGGGGUCUUGCUGGCCUAUAGUCAGCUCCUCUUAAAUGAAUCAGCUUGCCAGUGUUUGGUGGCAUCACAGGUGUGAUAACUAUCUACGCUUGUGGUUUUCCAUCAAGUCACCUUCAGCGAUGGAGGUUCGCUGGGGCUCAUAAAUGUCUCUCUUCAGUGGAGACAGCUUUUUGGACGUUUGAUCUCAAAUCAGGUAGGACUACCCGCUGAACUUAAGCAUAUCAAUAAGCGGAGGA
Molecule: unclassified non-coding RNA, 403 nt
Filed under: soil metagenome
Description: partial contains 5.8S ribosomal RNA, internal transcribed spacer 2, and large subunit ribosomal RNA
Rfam family: 5.8S ribosomal RNA (bases 1-121)
Source: RNAcentral